This 252-nucleotide ribosomal RNA is filed under the name uncultured bacterium. Its description in RNAcentral is "partial 16S ribosomal RNA". It matches the Rfam family "Bacterial small subunit ribosomal RNA", at positions 524 to 776 of the family's 1533-position model. The record is from RNAcentral.
UACGGAGGAUGCGAGCGUUAUCCGGAUUUAUUGGGUUUAAAGGGUGCGUAGGCGGUCCGUUAAGUCAGCGGUAAAAUUGCGGGGCUCAACCCCGUCGAGCCGUUGAAACUGGCAGACUUGAGUUGGCGAGAAGUACGCGGAAUGCGCGGUGUAGCGGUGAAAUGCAUAAAUAUCGCGCAGAACUCCGAUUGCGAAGGCAGCGUACCGGCGCCAGACUGACGCUGAGGCACGAAAGCGUGGGGAUCGAACAGG